CGAGUGCAUCCUACCUCAUCACAGAACCAGCCGCCACCAACGUUCCUCUCUAUCGUACCAAUCCCCACCGAGCUCCGCUGAGCAUGGCCGCCGCCGCCGCCGCGCCUCCCUUACCUCUCCCUCAAUCCCUUCUGCUCCUCCACGAACUCCUGGUCGACCCGCCGUCUCCCCAUCUUCCGGACGAACUCGUGGCGUCGCCAUCGUCGGGAUGAAGCGCAUGCCGCCUCUCAUGCCCCCACCCAUCUCGCCGCUCGCAGUGCCGCCGCGUCGUGCCAUCGCAGGGAGGAGCGCGAUUGGUGGCCGGCAGAUGCAGAGCAGUCCGCUGCUCGCACUGCCGCCGCGCGCCAUGCUUCGUCAUCGUCGGAAGGUCGCGAGGAGGCGAGGUCUCGAGGAAGCGGUCGCGCGGCGGCUGCUGCGCUGGAGACAGUGGCGUGGAGGAGAUGGGGCAGGAAGCCGGCGCCGCGAAUAUGGGAGGAGGGGAACGAGUGGAUUUCUUCUGGGUUGACCACGCCCGAACUGUCCCCAUGGCUGAGCAGCAACAGGGUCGUGAGUGGAUUUCUUUUGUGUUGACCAGGCCCAAACUGUCCCCAUGGUUAUAGAGAGUGCUGAGGUGGCGCUACUCAUGAUCUUUCUCAGGUCACGUGAAUUCCACCCCAAUGCAACAUCAACGAAGUUUGCUUGCUAUAUCUACAGGCCAAGCAUUCUUUAUUGCUUUCCAUCGCUACAACUUACUGCUUCAUCAAGAGGAGGUGUGAGCAGAGAAUAUAUUCGUACAAAAUGGUCUACAAGGUUCACUGUUAUCGAAAACGUAUGGAAGAGAAACCAUGGGAAUUCAGUUGAUAUAUAUUCAACUUUAGUCAUUUGAAGUUUUAUUCUUCAAAUUCACUUCUACUCCGUAACUUGUAAAGAUUCCUAUUAUAUGUCUCACAUUACACAACGAACUGCAACGAAGUCCAGAGUUCAGAGAUGAUAUUUUGGCAUGAGCUCUAAAUUUGCUAUCUUGAAAUCUGAAUUAUGUCCUUUGUCCUUUCUGUCUUCUUCAUAUUUAACCUGGUUAUUUACUUAUUUUACAGUAAAUCAAAUGCAUUGGAGAGGGCAACGGUUGCUGGUCUGGGAGGACUCCAUCUUUUUUGUGUCAUUUUUUGGUGUCAUUUUUCUCUGAAGAUACUCCUCUUCUAUGAAUAUGUGAAGGUGCUUUUGUCCAUUUCUGGCUUCCUUUACAUGUCAAAAACUAGGUGGUGUGUUUUCAUGGGUUGGCAUAUGACCUAAAUAAGCCACUAAGCCACAAUUUUAGCUUACAUCAAAAAUAUCUUUUCCUUCCUCAAUGUAAAUCACACUUAAUUUGCUUGAAAGGAGCUGAACGAAUGGUAAUCUCAAAUUCUCAAUUAGGUAUGUGAGACUUCAGAUGAACAACUGAUGCCAUGAGUAUGAAAAAUCGGCCGUUUCUUUACUUUACAUCCCUCCUGAUUGUUUAGACAAUUUCUGGAACAAUGCUUGGGGUUAUAAUGUGAACAAGCCUCCAUGCGAUUAUUCUUUAAAUCUUGCUUGCCUUAUCUUGGAAAAUUCUUUGCCAAGGUGAGUGUCACUGCGAUUAAUUUGUUUUUAGUUUCAUGGCUUACAAGUUGUGCCUGGAUAUUAGUUGUUUUUUGUUGUUGUAGGAUUUUUUUAGGUGGUGUCCUCCCACCUCAGUUCCUGGGAGAAGCUGUGUGGUUGUUGGGCAUGUGUGAGAAAAGGUAAUCUAAGCGGUGUGCUCGCUAUCAAGUAAUGAACAUUCUUUAGUAAUCAUGUAGGUUAAUUGGUAGAACAUGGUGACUGUAGCUUACUCCGAGGAACAUGGAUGAUAUAAACAGCAAGUGAAAGACUCCGAUUUUCAUAGGAAGUAAUUAGAAGAUUGUUGUACUUACUUGGGAAAGGAAUUAAAUUGAGUAGAAAGAAACAAAAUAUCUUGAAGGGAACUCAAAUCUCUCACCACUACCUUUUUGGUGCUGCAGAAAUGAUUGUUUAUUUACAGAUACGGGAGAAUCCUUGAGGAGUUGAUGCAUAAGCUCUCCUAGAGAGCGGAAAGAAGAGUAUAUGAUGACCUAUAGACCUGAAUGGCAAGAUCUAGAUAUCAUUUUUCUCUUUCUGCAUCUCUACCUACGCUCCCACAUUUCCAGUACAAUUAAUUUGUGCCCCAUCUUGGGCUCCUGCCGGUAGGUCUGAGGUGUGUUGCUGGCCCCUGUCUCUGUUGCUUGAUGUUGCUGCUCACCGUCUGCGCAGGUUAUAUAAAUAAAAGAUGGAGACAUCCCCAAGGUCCCAACAGUACAGCCACGGCAUGUGAGCUUAGUUUGGGUGAACGAACACACUGGGAUCUUCAUUUUUGUAACGAAAAUAGGUCAUGUUUUGUGCGAUGUUUCUAUUAUUCAUUUCUACAACAUUUCCCGUUGGGCGCUGCUUAUGCUGAACGUUUCUGUGAUGGUUGGGUACUUGGGUCGCCGCUGGUUUCUGGCCUCCAUCACUCAAUCGGCAUAAGGUGUGUUAUCUUAGCAUUCCCUUGCCGUUUCUUGUUCUUCUCGGUUAUUUAGCUGAGUUUACUAAGCUAUGUUUUGUUUUUUCUCUGUCCAUGUACUCCAACGAAGAGAAAAAUCAGAGUUUGAACCCUAAAAAAAUUCCGCAGGUGUUGAUUAUUGUACUUUCUAUAUAUAUACAAAGAUGGAUGCCUUGUUUAGUUUCAGUAGCAAUUGGAAAAUUAGUAUGGGUUCAUGCUAGCAUAGAAAGUUAAGGUUCAGAAGUGUUAGCCAGUUCAUUGUUGAUGUUCAGAAAUCUUCUAUUAAGGUUCUCCUUGGGCUGUUUGGUGCAGUGAGUCCAGAAUUAAGUCUUGUCUUUCUACAAUCAUAAUUUCGAGGCACACCGUGAAUAAAAGUUGUAGUCCAUGUUCCAGGCUUUCCAUAUAAUAUUCAUUUGUGCAAUUUGGUUGGACACAUUUAAAUAGAUGUCAGUUUACUGAUCUAUUCAGAAUAUAGUUUCUUCUAUAGACAAUGACCUUUUUAACAUUCGAACUAAAUUUUGGGAUAAACAUGAAAAUUGUUUAGAAUGUUUUUCUGAUGUUAUGACUCAUUUUUUGCAAGAUCUCGUGUAGAAAAUUAAAUCUUACAAAAAGAUAAGUGAGCUGUCUUUGUUGGACAGAAUUGCAAUAGUGCUGAGUUAAGACAUCAUUGUCCAGAUUGUCAUUAGUGGAUGUGUUAGAAAUAUUGGGUUGGUGCUGAGAUGUAAACUAUCUCCAUGGUCAAGUUUUAAUUAUAACUUGUCUGGUCACUUAUGUUGAGAGGGCUGGAAAUUUGUUACUUAGUCUUGGGCGUAGGAAUGAUGCUGUAUGUCUAUGUUAUGAAGUCGUGAUUUUAUAUAUCUUUGGAUAAGAGGUAUGCUUCCAAUGACAUGGUUUUCACAUACCGUUUCUAUAAUCAUUCUAGCUAUUUUUUUACUCACAGUCGAAGAUGUCACAAUUGUUUGUGCAAAUUUGAAUGUGAGAUAUCAGACAAUGUUUCCAAGAUAAAAGAUUAACUAUAUGUUCUAAAUUAUGAUUUCAUGUGUUUUAUCCUAAUUUAUUUUGUACAUUGGUGUGAGUUUUUCGGGAUCGUGCGCCAAGAAGCAUGCCCUAAGUACCAGCAUCAUGCUGUUGGAGAAGACUAAUUUAUGAGCAAAGUUAUAUUAUACCUUUUCCAAGGUUUCUCCACCCCUCGUCUGCUCUCACUCAUUGUCAAGCUUCCUAGCAAACUACUUAUGUUUCCCUAUGUUUGUCUACGAUAUUUUAUAAUUAUGUUUUCAUAUUUGUGUAUAAUAUUUUCCUACUUUUGACAUUUAUAUGCAGUGUAUUUUUCUAAUUUACCACUGUUUAGUCCACUCAUAAUUUUCCCUGCAAAAUUAAAUGGAUAACUAUGCUCUUCAUUAAUUGUUUAAUUAUCAUCGAUGGGUUCAAAUGUAUACAAAAUUAUAAUUGGCACAAACUACACGGGAUCGUGCGCCAAGGCGCACAUCAAACUUAAACAGAUUUCAUUUUGUAGUGUAAAGUCAUUAAUUUGGACUGUAAGCAUUUACCUAUUUUCCUUCUCCUCUAUACACAUUCUAUAUUUUCCUUCUCUAUAUAAAAUGGCUGGGGAAUUUACCUCCUAUUUUUUGUGUUGUUGAAGACUUGCGGUGCCCAGUUACUAUUCUCACAGAACAUUCGUUUCUUCAGUUACAUGUACUCUGGAGAUCUGGCAAGAUCUUCAUUGACGAAGCCUAUCAUAACAAGCCAUUGCUUCCUCACAGUUUGAAGAAUACAGGAAAUUUAUGCUUCCUGAAUGCUACUUUGCAGGCUUUCUUUUCGUGAUUUCCUUUUGUUCAGAUUGUACAACUUGAAAUUUCAGAGUAUACUCAAAGUACUAAUACCUAAACGGAUCAGUUUCAGGUAUUGUUUGUGCUUAUUUCAUUGACUUCUGCUGAAUACUGCUUUUGUUUUAGGUUGGCCACCUGUGUUUGUUGAGCUCAUCUCUCAGUUGACGUAUUUGACGAGUCUGGUAUGGAGAAAGAUGAGAAAGUUGCUACUAUCUCUACAAAUGUAAUCAAUCUUGCCAUAUUCGAUCAAGCUCUGAGAAUUGUUAUUCCAGAUGUACCAGCUAGAACAUCUGCUUGGCCAAGGUAAGGGCCUGUUUGGCUUUGCUGGGUCAUUAGUUUGGAACUGAAAUCUGUGAAGUAUGAGUGUUAACUGUUUGGGGUGUGCCUGGUUUGUAAUUUGGUGGCUGUUGGUGGUGCCUUUUUCUGAAAUUGGUGCUUCUUGCUUGAAGGUUUGGUGUUUCGGCACUGGUUUUUGGCAUCGCUAUUUUAGCCUAUAGCAAUCUGAAACACUACAUUCCUCGAUGAUUUUUUCCUGCUCCCAUUCUAGCCUCCAUGGUCGGGUUCAUUCCUGCUCUUCUCAUAUUUUGGGCAUAUGAACAAACAACUUUAGUUUUACAGUCACCAUAUUGUGGUCGUAGGUAUUGUCAUGUUAAUGUGAGACUUUAAAAGAAAGGUGAUGAACUAAAUAAAAUUUGAAACUUUAUUGUGAGAGGAGUUGAAUAAAUUGUGGUAGUGACUUAGUGUAUAUGAGCAGUGACACAACUUAGAUCAUUAACAAUAUUGUAUAGACCCGGAUUUUGAUCAGACCAACUAGGAAAGAAGGGAAUCUGUUGUAUAUAUGUCAGCAAAGAAGCAUCCAGUGAUAUGUGCUAGGUAAACAUGCUUAAACGUCCUAGGAAUUGUUUUUCCCAAGAUGAUUGACCAUGUCAAAAUUGUGUUAUACAUGUGUCCUUGAGUACAUCUAGCAGAGGUGUACCACUUCAAUAUUCAAAGGUGAGAUUAUUUGCGGUAGAAACAGAGAUGAGUUUGUUCAGUUUUAACUCUAUGCAUUCAAUUUUGAUGAAAUAAUUACGAGAACUUAUUCCUAACAACUAAAUUAUAUUAUUACAGAUGUUUAAGGUUAUUUUCCUCACAACAAAAUUUCUCAACAACUUCUUUAUUCGGUGAAAUGCAACCAAGGCCGGAGGGACGUGUUCAAUGCCCAGUGGCUAUUUGAGAAAACAAAGGCACUAGAUGCUCCUUUGCUUUGCUUUGCUUUGCUUUGUGUUUUUCCAUAUAUUUCUGAUGUUUUUCCUUGAUGUAUCCACGGUUCUUUGAUGCUUACUAGGUAAGGUAUUGUCUUUAGUGCAUGCAUUAACCAAGAACACCAUAUUAAAGCUUGGGACAUCUUAAUUCAGACCUUCUCUGAAGAUGUUUUUCUUUGAUUUAUCGUGUAUUUUCUAGAACAUAUGAUCCUCCACCAGUUAUAUACACGUUACUCUAAUUUGUCGUAAUCUGCAUGUUUUCCUGAUUCCUCAGUGUCAGUAGCUUGCAUCUCUUCUUUUCUUAUACAUGCAUCUCUUCUUUUCCUAUAUCAAAUUGCUAGGAUAAUUUAUGAACUUCAAAUAUAAUAACUCAACAGUACAAGUCGAUAUAUGUUGCUUGUAUUUCUCCUUUUUAUGUGCUGAUGGUAAUUAUUGUCUACUGCUUGUGUGUUCAAUUGUGGAUCUUCUCUCUGUUUGGAGAGAUUCUCCAUGGAUUCUUUGUCCUUGCCUGUUGGUUUCCCAAAUUGUUCUUAGUAUGAAUGCAUUGUUUCCUUCGAUGAGAUAAAUUCAUUUUGUGUUAGCACAAUGGCUGGUUUUAAGGUAAUCUCGGUAUACAAGUUGUACGGAAAUUUAUUAUCUUCUCUUUAUUGUCAAAUUGCUUAUCCGAUUACAAUACUCUAUUGUAUCAAACGUGAGCUAAUCUUCUCUUAAAGUUUCUUUGAUUUGGCUCACAUUUAACUGUUGGUUGAUUAUCUUUUCAUUUGCAGCGGUGCUAAGUUUUGGUGGUGCAAGUGCUUAUUAAAUCUACGUUUUCUCUAUAGUGGCGUGGCCUCUGAAAACCAUGACACGAAAACACCCAUAAGCAGCUUAUGUAGAUGUUGUUUUUGUUCGUACUCGAACCAUCGAGUGUUAGUUACUAUAAUAAUAUUAUUCUAUUUCCCUUAUUGUAUAUAAACAUUUACUACUUUGUUCA
This is a non-coding RNA of Lolium perenne, 6570 nucleotides long. Lineage: Eukaryota; Viridiplantae; Streptophyta; Magnoliopsida; Poales; Poaceae. The record is from RefSeq and is a predicted model, not a curated record.